UAAUACGAAGGUCCCGAGCGUUGUUCGGAAUCACUGGGCGUAAAGGGAGCGUAGGCGGCGUGGCAAGUCAGACGUGAAAUCCCGGGGCUCAACCCCGGAACUGCGUCCGAUACUGCCAUGCUCGAGCAUUGGAGAGGUAGCUGGAAUUCUUGGUGUAGCAGUGAAAUGCGUGGAUAUCAAGAGGAACACUCGUGGCGAAAGCGAGCUACUGGACAAUUGCUGACGCUGAGGCUCGAAGGCCAGGGGAGCGAAAGGG
This 256-nucleotide ribosomal RNA is filed under the name uncultured bacterium. RNAcentral's name for it is "partial 16S ribosomal RNA". It matches the Rfam family "Bacterial small subunit ribosomal RNA", at positions 521 to 776 of the family's 1533-position model. The record is from RNAcentral.